UGCCAGCAGCCAAGGGGAAGGAGCUGUCCCAGAGCAACCAAAGGGGAGAGGCCUGACUGCAGACACUAUCAUUUCAAAUGCUAACAUGAAAACUGAAGGUCCGCUAACACUGUCCAAGCUUUGUCUGAAUUGAAACUGAAGGAUCAAGCUGCAAGUCAAUUAUGAAUGUAGCCAGGAUUCCAGCCUAAUGCCUUGCCAGGUAGAUCACACUGUCUUCCAUUAAAGGUUUUAUACCACUUGCUGUUUCUCUUUUUCCAGAAGGUCUAUGGAAGAUUUUGGAAAUCUUGAUUCUCAGCAGCUGUUUUUCCAGACGCCAUGGAAAGAACAAAGAAAGAAAUCUGACAACUAUAGAAUGAAAAAGAAAAUACUGAAAUUAUUCCAGUUUAAGUUAACAAUGGAUUUGAGUGCUUCCCUCACUAUCCUAAUUUAAGACAAGCUCUGAAGUGUCUUAUAUCCACUGAAGUUGGUAGUGAGUGUAGCCAAUUUUUCUUCAGGACCCAAUAAAACUUGUGAUAAUGGUAUGUAAGUUUGAAUAACAAUAAAAAUAUGUUUAUCUUUGUAUACAUAUAGAAGCUAAGAGAUGGAAAUACAUAAAUGUAUCCAUCCAAAAUUUUUUUCUGAAAAAAAUUUGGAUGAUUUUACCAUUAUGUUGCAACUUAAAUAUAAUUGCCUUAUAGAACUGGAACUAUACAAUUAGAAUGAGUAAAAUGAUAUAUAUAUGCAACACUAUCAUGUAGAAAAUCUAUACCAGUUCAUGUGCCACAUUAUCACCAUAGGGUACUGUCAGUGAUGUGAGUGAAGAGAGAGCCAAAAUAUAAGCACAAAUAAGAACAUUUUUCAUAGCUAUUCUUGAGGAAUUGUUAGCAUUAUGUCCUAAUAACACCAGAAAUAGAAACUGAAUUUCAUUUCUACUUCUAUCUGUAUUCCAUAGUUCCCUGUCCCCCCAACCCCCAAAUGACAGGUGGAAGGUUCCCAGGAUAUUUACCUAAGGACCUUGUAUGAACCCUAUUACUAUGGUGUCUGAGAACGUAACCAUGUUUCAUACACAAAUCCUAGGUACCAUGCCACUUAAUGGAUGCCUUAAUUGUGAACUGACCACUUAAAUUUUUAUAUAACAAUGUUAGUAAAACUUACUUGGAAAAAAACAGCUUCAGGUCCUUUGAUGUUUGGCUUACGUUUGGGCUCUAGCUGCUGAACUGCUUAUGGGGUUUCAAUUAAACAGUCAUUCAGUUACAAAACCGAUAUAAUCCUGGAAUCACAUUCCUUUUGUGAGGAUCCCAAUCCUGUCCAUGUAUAUUAGGAAUUUUCAGACCAUGCCUAUUGUAUUGA
Alligator mississippiensis (American alligator) is the source of this 1329-nucleotide long non-coding RNA. RefSeq lists it as uncharacterized. NCBI's taxonomy places the organism in Eukaryota, Metazoa, Chordata, Crocodylia, Alligatoridae. The transcript is spliced from 4 exons. The record is from RefSeq and is a predicted model, not a curated record.